Long non-coding RNA from Oncorhynchus nerka (sockeye salmon), 915 nucleotides. RefSeq lists it as uncharacterized. The transcript is spliced from 4 exons. The record is from RefSeq and is a predicted model, not a curated record. NCBI's taxonomy places the organism in Eukaryota, Metazoa, Chordata, Actinopteri, Salmoniformes, Salmonidae.
AGAACAGCAGCUAGUGUUUAGCAGCUAGCGUUAGCGACAUAACUACCAUUUGAAGAUGUGUGUGUUUUUCUCUGUUAGCCGUGUGCUGUGUCUACUGGCGCUGACCAUGGCCAUCCUCUCCUCUACAUUGGAAGUGCGUUCCCAGGGAAUGAGGCCUCUAAAUUGCUGUUUGAAGACAUCCAAAAAACGUCCAGCAGAACCAAUCACACUGUGUCUUAUUCAGAUGCCUCGUGGGAAAUGUAACCUCAAAGCAUACAUUUUCGCCAGUGGGGAGCAGUGGAAGUGCAUCAACCCCAAAGCCAGAUGGCUCUCUGCUGAGCUAGCAUCACUGGAACAGAGAGGAAUACAGUGUGACCCACUGAUUAAAUAACCUUCAGACCAUGAUCCUAGAUCAUCAUCAUCGUCAGCAGCAGGUUCAGCAGCCUCUCUCAAUCAGGAACUACAGAACUAAGAUCUCUCUCAAGCAGGAACUACAGAACUAAGAUCUCUCUCAAGCAGGAACUACAGAACUAAGAUCUCUCUCAAGCAGGAACUACAGAACUAAGAUCUCUCUCAACCAGGAACUACAGAACUAAGAUCUCUCUCAACCAGGAACUACAGAACUAAGAUCUCUCUCAACCAGGAACUACAGAACUAAGAUAAUAAGAAGACAGUGAAAAUGAAGAUUAUGAUUUGUGUGAUUUAAGUAUUUCAAGCUCUCUUUAUCAGAUUAUUUAUGUAUUUAUUUAUUUAUUUCAACCUCAUCCCGGCAUUAAUUUAUUGUACUCAAUUCAUUAAGGUGUUUUAAAGGCAUUUGUAUUUAUUUAUUUCCUCUGUCCUUUUUUUAUGCUGUGAUAAUAACAUAACUUUGUUUGUAUAAAGUCUUUCAUUCUCAAAGUGCUUUACAGUGAUGCAAAAUAAAGAAUGGGAGACCUA